RNAcentral lists this ribosomal RNA (454 nucleotides) under uncultured organism. RNAcentral's name for it is "partial 16S ribosomal RNA". It matches the Rfam family "Bacterial small subunit ribosomal RNA", at positions 331 to 801 of the family's 1533-position model. The record is from RNAcentral.
GUACACUCCUACGGGAGGCAGCAGUGGGGAAUAUUGGACAAUGGGCGCAAGCCUGAUCCAGCCAUGCCGCGUGAGUGAUGAAGGCCCUAGGGUUGUAAAGCUCUUUCACCGGUGAAGAUAAUGACGGUAACCGGAGAAGAAGCCCCGGCUAACUUCGUGCCAGCAGCCGCGGUAAUACGAAGGGGGCUAGCGUUGUUCGGAUUUACUGGGCGUAAAGCGCACUUAGGCGGACUAUUAAGUCAGGGGUGAAAUCCCGGGGCUCAACCCCGGAACUGCCUUUGAUACUGGUAGUCUUGAGUUCGAGAGAGGUGAGUGGAAUUCCGAGUGUAGAGGUGAAAUUCGUAGAUAUUCGGAGGAACACCAGUGGCGAAGGCGGCUCACUGGCUCGAUACUGACGCUGAGGUGCGAAAGCGUGGGGAGCAAACAGGAUUAGAUACCCUAGUAGUCCCAUGAU